This 450-nucleotide ribosomal RNA is filed under the name uncultured bacterium. RNAcentral describes it as "bacterial SSU rRNA". It matches the Rfam family "Bacterial small subunit ribosomal RNA", at positions 355 to 825 of the family's 1533-position model. The record is from RNAcentral.
UGGGGAAUAUUGCGCAAUGGGGGAAACCCUGACGCAGCGACGCCGCGUGUGGGAUGAAGGUCUUCGGAUUGUAAACCACUGUCGCGAGGGACGAAGCUCUGACGGUACCUCGAAAGGAAGCACCGGCUAACUCUGUGCCAGCAGCCGCGGUAAUACAGAGGGUGCGAGCGUUGUCCGGAAUCACUGGGCGUAAAGCGCACGUAGGCGGCUAGGUCCGUCCAAUGUGAAAGCCCCCGGCUCAACCGGGGAAUUGCAUCGGAUACAGCCUGGCUUGAGGACGGUUGGGGUGAGUGGAACUCCUGGUGGAGCGGUGAAAUGCGUAGAUAUCAGGAGGAACACCGGUGGCGAAGGGCGGCCACCUGGUUGGAUACUGACGCUGAGACGCGAAAGCGUGGGGAGCAAACAGGAUUAGAUACCCGGGUAGUCCCUGAGCGGGCUGGCAAGGCGCAU